RNAcentral lists this ribosomal RNA (361 nucleotides) under uncultured rumen bacterium. RNAcentral describes it as "partial 16S ribosomal RNA". The record is from RNAcentral.
UAUUCCCCACUGCUGCCUCCCGUAGGAGUUUGGGCCGUGUCUCAGUCCCAAUGUGGCCGGUCGCCCUCUCAGGCCGGCUACGGAUCAUCGUCUUGGUGGGCCGUUACCUCACCAACUAACUAAUCCGACGCGGGUCCAUCUUUCACCACCGGAGUUUUCCUCCCUGUGCCAUGCGGCACCGUGAGCAUAUGCGGUAUUAACAGCCGUUUCCAGCUGGUAUCCCCCGGUGAAAGGCAGGUUCCCCACGCGUUCCUCACCCAUCCGCCGCUCUGAAUAAACUUCCUUGGCCGAAACCUUGUCGGUUUAUUCAUCGCUCGACUUGCAUGUGUUAGGCACGCCGCCAGCGUUCAUCCUGAGCCAA